UAACCGAGCCAAAACAGAAAAAAAGAUUAGAUAGAAAUGAAGAAAGGAAAAAUGAAGACUUUUAAAAUAUAAACCAAUCUGUCCAACCUGAUAUGUAUGGUGGAAUCCAAUUGAUUUUUACUUCAAGCAUUAGAUCGUCUGUCUUAGUUAAGAGGAGUCAUGAACAUUACAGGUUCAAAAUCACGAUCAAUUCCUUUUUCAA
Molecule: long non-coding RNA, 202 nt
Filed under: Cucumis sativus (cucumber)
Lineage: Eukaryota; Viridiplantae; Streptophyta; Magnoliopsida; Cucurbitales; Cucurbitaceae
Description: long non-coding RNA (CSAT_LNC000530)
Source: RNAcentral